UAAGGGCGCACGGUGGAUGCCUUGGCACUAGAAGCCGAUGAAGGACGUUACUAACGACGAUAUGCUUUGGGGAGCUGUAAGUAAGCUUUGAUCCAGAGAUUUCCGAAUGGGGAAACCCAGCAUGAGUUAUGUCAUGUUAUCGAUAUGUGAAUACAUAGCAUAUCAGAAGGCACACCCGGAGAACUGAAACAUCUUAGUACCCGGAGGAAGAGAAAGAAAAUUCGAUUCCCUUAGUAGCGGCGAGCGAAACGGGAAGAGCCCAAACCAACAAGCUUGCUUGUUGGGGUUGUAGGACACUCUAUACGGAGUUACAAAGGACGACAUUAGACGAAUCAUCUGGAAAGAUGAAUCAAAGAAGGUAAUAAUCCUGUAGUCGAAAAUGUUGUCUCUCUUGAGUGGAUCCUGAGUACGACGGAGCACGUGAAAUUCCGUCGGAAUCUGGGAGGACCAUCUCCUAAGGCUAAAUACUCUCUAGUGACCGAUAGUGAACCAGUACCGUGAGGGAAAGGUGAAAAGCACCCCGGAAGGGGAGUGAAAUAGAACCUGAAACCGUGUGCUUACAAGUAGUCAGAGCCCGUUAAUGGGUGAUGGCGUGCCUUUUGUAGAAUGAACCGGCGAGUUACGAUUUGAUGCAAGGUUAAGCAGUAAAUGUGGAGCCGUAGCGAAAGCGAGUCUGAAUAGGGCGUUUAGUAUUUGGUCGUAGACCCGAAACCAGGUGAUCUACCCUUGGUCAGGUUGAAGUUCAGGUAACACUGAAUGGAGGACCGAACCGACUUACGUUGAAAAGUGAGCGGAUGAACUGAGGGUAGCGGAGAAAUUCCAAUCGAACCUGGAGAUAGCUGGUUCUCUCCGAAAUAGCUUUAGGGCUAGCCUCAAGUGAUGAUUAUUGGAGGUAGAGCACUGUUUGGACGAGGGGCCCCUCUCGGGUUACCGAAUUCAGACAAACUCCGAAUGCCAAUUAAUUUAACUUGGGAGUCAGAACAUGGGUGAUAAGGUCCGUGUUCGAAAGGGAAACAGCCCAGACCACCAGCUAAGGUCCCAAAAUAUAUGUUAAGUGGAAAAGGAUGUGGCGUUGCCCAGACAACUAGGAUGUUGGCUUAGAAGCAGCCAUCAUUUAAAGAGUGCGUAAUAGCUCACUAGUCGAGUGACACUGCGCCGAAAAUGUACCGGGGCUAAACAUAUUACCGAAGCUGUGGAUUGUCCUUUGGACAAUGGUAGGAGAGCGUUCUAAGGGCGUUGAAGCAUGAUCGUAAGGACAUGUGGAGCGCUUAGAAGUGAGAAUGCCGGUGUGAGUAGCGAAAGACGGGUGAGAAUCCCGUCCACCGAUUGACUAAGGUUUCCAGAGGAAGGCUCGUCCGCUCUGGGUUAGUCGGGUCCUAAGCUGAGGCCGACAGGCGUAGGCGAUGGAUAACAGGUUGAUAUUCCUGUACCACCUAUAAUCGUUUUAAUCGAUGGGGGGACGCAGUAGGAUAGGCGAAGCGUGCGAUUGGAUUGCACGUCUAAGCAGUAAGGCUGAGUAUUAGGCAAAUCCGGUACUCGUUAAGGCUGAGCUGUGAUGGGGAGAAGACAUUGAGUCUUCGAGUCGUUGAUUUCACACUGCCGAGAAAAGCCUCUAGAUAGAAAAUAGGUGCCCGUACCGCAAACCGACACAGGUAGUCAAGAUGAGAAUUCUAAGGUGAGCGAGCGAACUCUCGUUAAGGAACUCGGCAAAAUGACCCCGUAACUUCGGGAGAAGGGGUGCUCUUUAGGGUUAACGCCCAGAAGAGCCGCAGUGAAUAGGCCCAAGCGACUGUUUAUCAAAAACACAGGUCUCUGCUAAACCGUAAGGUGAUGUAUAGGGGCUGACGCCUGCCCGGUGCUGGAAGGUUAAGAGGAGUGGUUAGCUUCUGCGAAGCUACGAAUCGAAGCCCCAGUAAACGGCGGCCGUAACUAUAACGGUCCUAAGGUAGCGAAAUUCCUUGUCGGGUAAGUUCCGACCCGCACGAAAGGCGUAACGAUUUGGGCACUGUCUCAACGAGAGACUCGGUGAAAUCAUAGUACCUGUGAAGAUGCAGGUUACCCGCGACAGGACGGAAAGACCCCGUGGAGCUUUACUGUAGCCUGAUAUUGAAAUUCGGCACAGCUUGUACAGGAUAGGUAGGAGCCUUUGAAACGUGAGCGCUAGCUUACGUGGAGGCGCUGGUGGGAUACUACCCUAGCUGUGUUGGCUUUCUAACCCGCACCACUUAUCGUGGUGGGAGACAGUGUCAGGCGGGCAGUUUGACUGGGGCGGUCGCCUCCUAAAAGGUAACGGAGGCGCUCAAAGGUUCCCUCAGAAUGGUUGGAAAUCAUUCAUAGAGUGUAAAGGCAUAAGGGAGCUUGACUGCGAGACCUACAAGUCGAGCAGGGUCGAAAGACGGACUUAGUGAUCCGGUGGUUCCGCAUGGAAGGGCCAUCGCUCAACGGAUAAAAGCUACCCCGGGGAUAACAGGCUUAUCUCCCCCAAGAGUUCACAUCGACGGGGAGGUUUGGCACCUCGAUGUCGGCUCAUCGCAUCCUGGGGCUGUAGUCGGUCCCAAGGGUUGGGCUGUUCGCCCAUUAAAGCGGUACGCGAGCUGGGUUCAGAACGUCGUGAGACAGUUCGGUCCCUAUCCGUCGUGGGCGUAGGAAAUUUGAGAGGAGCUGUCCUUAGUACGAGAGGACCGGGAUGGACAUACCUCUGGUGUACCAGUUGUCGUGCCAACGGCAUAGCUGGGUAGCUAUGUGUGGACGGGAUAAGUGCUGAAAGCAUCUAAGCAUGAAGCCCCCCUCAAGAUGAGAUUUCCCAACUUCGGUUAUAAGAUCCCUCAAAGAUGAUGAGGUUAAUAGGUUCGAGGUGGAAGCAUGGUGACAUGUGGAGCUGACGAAUACUAA
RNAcentral lists this ribosomal RNA (2892 nucleotides) under Staphylococcus aureus. Its description in RNAcentral is "partial 23S ribosomal RNA". It matches the Rfam family "Bacterial large subunit ribosomal RNA". Lineage: Bacteria; Bacillati; Bacillota; Bacilli; Caryophanales; Staphylococcaceae. The record is from RNAcentral.